This is a non-coding RNA of Petromyzon marinus (sea lamprey), 844 nucleotides long. The record is from RefSeq and is a predicted model, not a curated record. Lineage: Eukaryota; Metazoa; Chordata; Hyperoartia; Petromyzontiformes; Petromyzontidae.
GGUGGUAGUGAGAGAGACAAACAGGAUUGAAGUGGAGGGCAAGGUGGAGGGAGUGCUGGGCCGUCGUCGGGCUUCGGGAACGUCCGGAAAAGGGUGGCAACGGUGGCGAGGUGAGGAGGGAGAGAAAUCAGCCGCAGAAAGCACCGAGAGCUACGAGCCAUUGUUCGUCUAACGGGCCUGUUGUCUUGUUGACUGUGCUGGAACCUGCUGCCUGUAUUUCCGUCAGACGCCGCCGACACUGCAACAACAACAACAACAAAAAUCGACCCUCCAGAUUAAUAACGUUACAGAAAAAUUGGUUGGACUACGCCUCGGGCAAGCAGUGAGUACACUCGCUGGACUCAGACCCCGGUGACGGAGGCGCUGGGACUGGGUACAGCCCCGCAAAUGCCUGCUCACGCUACUCAUGGCGGAAGGACCUCAACGAGAGGGAGCCCUGCAGGGUACUUGGUCUACUCUUCCACGUUGAUCAAACAUUUUGAAAGAGGUGCGUUUACACACACUUUACCCCACCACACGCGACCUACCGAUACACUUUACCCAUUGACACUGAGGUCUUAAGACGCUUGUCCAUUGUUUCAACUGCUGGGCCGGAAGAUGGAAAUCAAGUUGGCACUUUCCAGAGUGCCAUUGCAGCGUGACAAAUGAUCCUCAUGGCGGUACCCCGGGGUACCAAAUAAAACUAAAUGGCCGAGGCAAUUAAAUACUUUAUUUCUGGGACACUAUUUUUGUCCAGGGGUGUUACUCAACUCCGCAACUGGUCUACCAAUCAAUCCUAAAUCAGUGCCACACUCCGCAAUGUGGAAACGCAGCGCGCCGAAACCCUGAACGCUCGCACGCACCG